Molecule: transfer-messenger RNA, 349 nt
Filed under: Lachnospiraceae bacterium
Lineage: Bacteria; Bacillati; Bacillota; Clostridia; Lachnospirales; Lachnospiraceae
Rfam family: transfer-messenger RNA
About the family: Bacterial tmRNA, also known as 10Sa RNA or SsrA, is named for its dual tRNA and mRNA-like properties. Its role is to liberate the mRNA from a stalled ribosome.
Source: RNAcentral
GGGCUAGUCAAGGUUUCGACAGGGGUCUUGCAGCUGGAGAAGCUAUCCGCAGGCGAUGCGUCAAAUCGCAACAAUAAAUAUAAACGCUGAAGAUAAUUUAGCUUACGCUGCCUAAUGGUAGCUGUCCGAUCUAAGGCACUCACACUUUAGAAGUCGGGCAUCGACUAUGUGAGAAACGACGUAGCUUAAGCUUUGCGGCUACGGGCGUAUCAUGAAGCUACCAAAUAUAUCAGGGUGUCAAUUUCCUGAUAUAGGCGGGAAUGGGAGCAAUCCGAGAUAAUUGACUAUGAUAGUAGAAGGACAGGGAAUGGGCUUUUGGACACGGGUUCGACUCCCGUCUAGUCCACUC